Molecule: long non-coding RNA, 536 nt
Filed under: Pongo abelii (Sumatran orangutan)
Lineage: Eukaryota; Metazoa; Chordata; Mammalia; Primates; Hominidae
Description: lincRNA
Source: RNAcentral
UUUGGAAUGACCAGUGAUUUCAGCUCUCACUCCCUUCUCAUCAGCACAGUUGCAAAAAAUUAUGCAGAAGAGCAGAUCAGAUUGAUGCAGUUUGAUAAGGAUUCAGCCCACCAUUGCCGACUUUGAAGGUGAAGGAGAGGGACCAUGAGCCACAGAAAACCAGCAGCCUCUAGGAACUGGAAAAAGCAAGGAAAUGGAUUCUCCCCUAGAGCUUCAGCCUCCCUCCCAGCACAAGGUCUUAGCACUAUUUCAUCUUCCCAGAAGGCUUCUCCCUCUUCCACUCUGCUUCUAGGUUCUCACUCUGUAGCCCAGUCUGGAGUGCAGUGGUACAAUAAUGGCUCACUUCAGCUUUGACCUUCCAGGCUCAAGCGGUCCUUCUACCUCAGCCUCAGGAGCAACUAGGACCACGGGUGCACCCCACCAUGCCCAGCUAACUUUUGUAUUUUUUUGUAGACACAGGAUUUUGCCAUGUUGCUCAGUCCCAGUAUCGUCACCAGAUGAGAAUAUGUAUGGGCUCACGAACAAGAAAAUUGCUU